GUCGCGGGCCGGGCCCCUCUGGCGAUCUGUCGAUCGCGAUGUCGGACCGUUUGA
Molecule: regulatory RNA element, 54 nt
Organism: Mesorhizobium australicum
Lineage: Bacteria; Pseudomonadati; Pseudomonadota; Alphaproteobacteria; Hyphomicrobiales; Phyllobacteriaceae
Rfam family: terC RNA
Source: Rfam